Cavia porcellus (domestic guinea pig) is the source of this 2415-nucleotide long non-coding RNA. RefSeq lists it as uncharacterized. NCBI's taxonomy places the organism in Eukaryota, Metazoa, Chordata, Mammalia, Rodentia, Caviidae. The record is from RefSeq and is a predicted model, not a curated record. The transcript has 4 exons.
AUUUGUUAUCUCUUUUUCUGUUUUAGGCUCUGUAGAGAAAAGGCCUUGUCUUGACUGCUUUCAUUUUGUCAUGGUCAGUGCUUCUGGACAGUGCUUGGAAGUCUCAAGAAGGUUCCUACAGACUGUCUUGAGCUGAGCUUUGCUGCAAAAGAUCCUGAAACCACACAGCAGUGUCCUCUCAAGGAUACAGAAGGUGACAUCUGUCAGAAAUCAGAAAUUGCAGUUUCUGAGGCUUCCAGGAACAGAGGUGAUGGGACACUGCCCUGGUGGCCAGCGUUGUGGUAUUUUUGGGAGCUGUACAGUACUAAUCAUCUUUCUGCUAAGAUUCAUUUUCUUCCAUAUUCCCCAGAAAUUUCCAGGCUGACCUGCUGCCCCCCAGGAGGCACCUGACAUACGCAUAUCCAUGGCUCUGCAGAACCUUGUGCAGACACAUGUACCACGGCGAGCAUCUCAUGGAGUCCUUGGAGAGUAGUGGAGCAGGUGGUGUCAUGUGUGGUGAGGCUGAGUGGGACAGGCAUGGAGUCCAUGAUGGGCAGGCAGAUAUAGACAAGCGAAAGCAGGGACCUCAAGCUGAGAGUCAAAGGCAGCCAUGAUGGCCUAGGCAGGUCCAAAAAGGGAAGGAGGCUGAGGCUUUCUUUAUGACUGGGCUUUAGGAACAGCACUACUGCUGAUGCAACCUCACAAAACUUCCAGAAUAUUCUCUCCUCAUCCCUGUACUGUCUGUCCUCUCUCCACUGUCCCUCAGGGUCACUCCGGCUCACACUUUCCUUUCAGUACCUUCUGGAAUUUCUUAGAGGUCCUUCCAGUCCUGCCUGGUACCACAUACCUCACUCACUGCUCACAGACCUGGUGCCAUGGCAACCGUCCUCUCAGACACGCAUAGAUGGCCAGAUAAAGCCUACCAACACAGUUCACACUGAGUCACAGGACCUCACCAGGGAGGCCACACCUUCUUCGCUCUAGUGCCCAGGCAGGAGCACGACUCGUUCUGUAAAGCCACGGUGGUGAAAGAACGUGUAGGAUGCUUUUCUUCCCGGCCCCUUUGACGGGAGAAAGAAGGUACCCUCAGGAUUUCCAGGCCAGGUCAGUGCAACAGUGUCCCCAGUCAGCCUCCUCACAUACACCAGGAGGGCUUCCAACAAAGAAACUCUGCAGGAGCCCCGUGAUAAGUUCCUUUUCAUGAACUGGUGGCUGCGUUGCUUAAGUACCUGGGACACAAAGCACAUUUAUUUGCAGACUUGAUAAAUUCGGGCAGACUGGGGUUUGAUGCCAAUUUAGAAUGCACUUAACCCUGCCUUUCCAUUGGCUAAGGUAGAGCUCUUCAUUUCAUCUAAUGCUCAUCUUUUGCCUUGAUUUUUAAGACCCAAGGACAUUAAAUUCCAUUUAUUUUAUUAUCAGAAACUGCAGCAAUGUGAUCCUUUUAACACUUUAUCUUUUAGUAAAGAGUAAUAUAAAAAGUUAUUUUUAUGUUGAAAUGUGUGGGCUUCUUAUGGGCAAAAAUAUAAAUUUCUGUAAGUUUUAAGAUUCAGCAUAAAACUUCCAUUGUUCAUUUACUGAAACUCUUUGGACUAUUUAUCCAGUGAUGUGCUAACUCUUCCUAGCCUUGGGAGAUUUUGGUGGGAAAGUCAGAGAAGUGCCCCUAUGCAUUAGUGACCCUUGAUAUUGACUGUCUCUAAUGCUCCUUUUGAAAGAACAGUGAUUUUAUUGUGGACCAAAUGCCACACAAAAUUUGGAAAUGUGGAUUUGUGGAAAGCUGAACAGAUUCCUUUGUGAUGAAGUCUGGAUAAAUGAUUAUAUAAUCAGUUUCUCCCACCAUGAUGGGCCAUGUUGAUCUGCUGCAGUAAGACAAAUACAGGUGGCAGAAAUAGCUGUGUGGUCAGCUUGUUCUCAUUUUGAGAACCUGUAUUCUUCAGUAUAGUUCUCUUUAUGUAUGAAUUCCUGCACUAGCCAGAAUGCAUACAUUUAUGUAUAAUCUAGAAAUGUAUGCUAGUUUUUGGCUUUAUCCUCUUCAGGGAUCCCAUACUAUGCCCUUUUAAGAUGUAGAAAAACUAUUUAUUUUAAUCAUUAUCUCUUGUUCAAGAGGCCAGGUAGGAAGAUAGGCACUGGAUGCCAGGGUGCUGGUAGCACAGGGCGCUUUGAUUACCACAUGCAAGUUUCUUAUUUUAGUAACUUCUAAACACAGUCAUUCCCCAGUGUGCAUUGCUGCAAAAUGCUCUGCACAUGACAAAAUUCUCAGAUGUUCCAGUUCCUUAUUUUAAAUGGUGUAGUAUUUCCAUAUAAUCUGUGCACACCCUCCCAUGUACUUUAAAUUAGCUCUAGAUUAUUUAUAAUACCUGAUACAAUGUAAAUGCCAUGUAAAUAGUUGCUGCAUUAUAUUUUAUGAAAUUAUAAUAAAAAUUGCACGUUCAAUACAAA